GGCCGGGAGCGUAGAGAAGGGUGGUGCCGGUGCCGGAAGCUGUUUUCGGGGCCUUUGACGGAUCAUUUCCCGGAGCAGUCGGAGCUGGAGCUGGUUCCGGGAGCCGCAGUUUUUUCCUGCUUGUAAACGGGAAAUCCUUGCUGUUGAUUGAAGGUGAAUGUUAGCAUUUACCUCCUUCAUCCCCAAGCUUUCAAUCUCCUCACUCCGAAUUUGUGUCGAACUUUGCUUCACAUCAGACCUGCGAAAAGAUUUGAAAGAUUUUACUUUAGAACCCCCAUGUCAAUGUAUGCCUGCCUCUGACAUGCCCUCCUAUACUCAUCAUUGAACCAAGGUUAUCCCUUCAAGUUACAGGUACUGUUCAGAAGAGGACCGGAGGCAACAAACGCCUGAUAGCUUUUUGUUCACGUUUCUAAGGAGGCUGCUUUUGUUAUG
Long non-coding RNA from Stegostoma tigrinum, 432 nucleotides. RefSeq lists it as uncharacterized. The record is from RefSeq and is a predicted model, not a curated record. NCBI's taxonomy places the organism in Eukaryota, Metazoa, Chordata, Chondrichthyes, Orectolobiformes, Stegostomatidae. The transcript has 3 exons.